GUGGUAGAUUAUUAUAAACCCAGUUGGUAGGUCAGGUGGUAGUUUAUUAUAAACCCAGUUGGUAGGUCAGGUGGUAGUUUAUUAUAAACCCAGUUGGUAGGUCAGGUGGUAGUUUAUUAUAAACCCAGUUGGUAGGUCAGGUGGUAGUUUAUUAUAAACCCAGUUGGUAGGUCAGGUGGUAGUUUAUUAUAAACCCAGUUGGUAGGUCAGGUGGUAGAUUAUUAUAAACCCAGUUGGUAGGUCAGGUGGUAGUUUAUUAUAAACCCAGUUGGUAGGUCAGGUGGUAGAUUAUUAUAAACCCAGUUGGUAGGUCAGGUGGUAGUUUAUUAUAAACCCAGUUGGUAGGUCAGGUGGUAGGUCAGGUGGUAGUUUAUUAUAAACCCAGUUGGUAGGUCAGGUGGUAGGUCAGGUGGUAGUUUAUUAUAAACCCAGUUGGUAGGUCAGGUGGUAGGUCAGGUGGUAGUUUAUUAUAAACCCAGUUGGUAGGUCAGGUGGUAGGUCAGGUGGUAGUUUAUUAUAAACCCAGUUGGUAGGUCAGGUGGUAGGUCAGGUGGUAGUUUAUUAUAAACCCAGUUGGUAGGUCAGGUGGUAGGUCAGGUGGUAGUUUAUUAUAAACCCAGUUGGUAGGUCAGGUGGUAGGUCAGGUGGUAGUUUAUUAUAAACCCAGUUGGUAGGUCAGGUGGUAGGUCAUGGCUGUGCUGGGUUUAGGAGUAACCCCUGUAGUCUCUGCUCUGUUAGCAACACAUGGAGUAAGAUAAUUCAACGUGCAACAAUUUCCCCAUAGAGUUUAAACUGCAAACAUUUUCAUUCUUCCUCUUUUCUUCAUCAGAGUCUUCGUCAUCAUCAUCUCACAUUUCGUUGGCAUCAUAGAGUCAGUGAUGAAAUUUUGGUGUAUAUAUAUAUAUAUAUAUAUAUAUAUAUAUAUAUAUGUGGUAUGUGUAGAUAGGUAGGUAGUUAGUUCUAGUGUCUGGUCUCCUCUCCAGAGUCAAAGUCUUUUGUUUCCAUAGUGUUGAUAGGUUGAUAUCACGUUGUGACGUCGUAUUGUUUUGUACAAUAAACGUCCCAGCAACACUUGAAACACACAAAGCUCCUUCUCCCACCUACCUAUAGCGAGUCGGCGUAUCAAGCCAACAUGGCAACCCUGGUGGGUGUGGCUCUUCCUGUCUUGUUGCCGGGGUAAGGUCCAUCCUGCUGACUUGUGGGUUAGGGCUAGGUUCAGGUAAUCUGGUGUUAUACCAUUGGACAAAACACCAGUCUUACACUCAACUAUAACUGAGUUUAUCAGGGUGUUAAUCUGGUUAUUCUGAUUUUGUCUCUGUAUGACAGAAGACAAGCAUUCUCUCGGUUCUUUCCUAUUCUGACCAGCCGCCCUCACCUCUCUGACCCUGCUCCCCCUCCUCUCUCUGACCC
Oncorhynchus keta (chum salmon) is the source of this 1410-nucleotide long non-coding RNA. RefSeq lists it as uncharacterized. The transcript is spliced from 5 exons. NCBI's taxonomy places the organism in Eukaryota, Metazoa, Chordata, Actinopteri, Salmoniformes, Salmonidae. The record is from RefSeq and is a predicted model, not a curated record.